CCAAUUUGAUGUUGUGGUUCAAACUGUUAGAAGUGACAAUGCUUUAGAAUUGGGUUCUAGCAUUGAGGGUAAAUCUUUCUUUAGUAGUCAGGGGAUCAUUCAUCAAACCACCUGCUCUCAUUCCCCUCAACAGAGUGGUGUUGUUGAGAGAAAACAUAGAACCCUCCUUGAAACAUGUAGAGCUUUACUUUUUCAAUCUUGGUUGCCUGUGUCCUUCUGGGGGGACUGUUUGUUGACUGCCACUUACCUCAUUAACAGAAUACCAUCCAGAUUACUUCACAAUAAGUCUCCUAAUGAAAUUCUGUAUGGAAUAGCCCCAACCUACUCUCAUUUGAGAGCAUUUGGGUGCCUUGCCUAUGCUACUGUCCCAAUCCCUCAAAGGAACAAAUUAAGACCAAGAGUCAUUUCUUGUGUUUUCCUGGGUUAUCCUUUUGCCAAGAAGGGUUAUAGAUUGUAUGAUAUGGCUUCCAAGAAAUGUUUGAUUUCCAGGGAUGUUAUAUUCCAUGAAACCUGUUUUCCUUUUAAAACUGCAUCCUCUUCUGCUCAUCCUUCUAUUUUUUCCUUUCCUUCUGUUCCCCAUGCAGAACUUUCUAAUGAUCCAGAUUCUUCUAUUCACCUCUCCUCUCCUCUCCUUUCCUUCUGUUCCCCCUGUAGAACGUUAUAUUCAAUGAAACCUGUUUUCCUUUUAAAACUGCAUCCUCUUCUGCUCAUCCUUCUGUUUUUUCCUUUCCUUCUGUUCCCCCUGUAGAACUUUCUGAUGAUCCAGAUUCUUCUAUUCACCU
This 782-nucleotide long non-coding RNA is filed under the name Nicotiana benthamiana. Its description in RNAcentral is "long non-coding RNA (NBEN_LNC019957)". Lineage: Eukaryota; Viridiplantae; Streptophyta; Magnoliopsida; Solanales; Solanaceae. The record is from RNAcentral.